AAUUUUUUUUAGUUCAGCAGCUCUCUAGUGUAUUUUAUGUGUGGCCCAAGACAAUUCUUCUUCCAAUGCGGCCCAGGACAGCCAAAAGAUUGGACUCCCCUGAUUUACAUCAUCUUGAGG
Molecule: long non-coding RNA, 120 nt
Organism: Sapajus apella (tufted capuchin)
Lineage: Eukaryota; Metazoa; Chordata; Mammalia; Primates; Cebidae
Exons: 3
Source: RefSeq, a predicted model, not a curated record